UAAAUAAAUUUUUUAUGUUUUAGAAAUUUUAUUAUAAAUUUAUUUUACAUAUAAAUUUUAGUAUAAAAUUUUAAUUAUUUAAAUAAUAAUUAAUUAAUUAUGGUAGUAAUUAGUAUUAAAAAUUUAAGAAAUUAAGAUUUAGUAAUAUGAAAAUUAAUAACUAAUUUUGUGCCAGCAGUUGCGGUUAUACAAAGAUUAAAUUAAAUUAUUUCAGUUUAUAAUAAGUAAUUUUAAAUUAAAGUAAAUAUUAAAUUAUUAAGUGAAAUUUUAAUUUAAUUAAAUUUUAUAUUUAAAUUAUGAUUUAAUAAAUUUUAAUAUAAACUAGGAUUAGAUACCCUAUUAUUAAAAAAAUUAAAUUAUAAUACUAAAAUAGUAAAUAAUUAUUUAUUGAAACUUGAAUAAUAUGGCGGUAUUUUAGUUCAUUUAGAGGAAUCUGUUAAGUAAUUGAUAAUCCACGAAUAAAUUUACUUAAUUUUAAAUUUUGUAUAUCAUUGUUAAAAAAAUAUUUUUAAAUAAAAAUAAUAUUUAAAAUUUUAAAAAUAAAAUUAGUUCAGAUCAAGAUGCAGAUUAUAAUUAAGAUUAUAAUGGAUUACAAUAAAAUUAUUUAAAUGAAUAAUAGUAUUGAAAUUUAUAUUUGAAAGUGGAUUUAAAUGUAAUUUUAAUUAGUUUAUUAAAAUGAUUAAAAAUUAGAAUAUGUACAUAUUGCCCGUCACUUUCAUUUUAAAAUUGAAAUAAGUCGUAACAAAGUAGAUGUACUGGAAAGUGUAUCUAGAAAGAA
Molecule: non-coding RNA, 778 nt
Filed under: Hestina assimilis
Lineage: Eukaryota; Metazoa; Arthropoda; Insecta; Lepidoptera; Nymphalidae
Source: RNAcentral